CCUACGGGAGGCUGCAGUGAGGAAUAUUGGUCAAUGGCCGGAAGGCUGAACCAGCCAAGCCGCGUGAAGGACGAAGGUGCCAAGCAUUGUAAACUUCUUUUGUCAAGGGACAAAAUCAGGCUCGAGAGCCUGACCGAGGGUACUUGAAGAAAAAGCAUCGGCUAACUCCGUGCCAGCAGCCGCGGUAAUACGGAGGAUGCGAACGUAACCGGGAUCUAUUGGGGUUAAAGGGUGCGUAGGCGGACUGUUAAGUCAGUGGUAAAAGCCCGGGGCUAAACCCCGGCGGGCCUUUGAAACUGGUUGGCUUGAGAUGUCUAGAGGUAGGCGGAAUGGGAAGUGUAGCGGUGAAAUGCUGAGAUAUUGGGCAGAACUCCGAUGGCGAAGGCGGCAUACCGGCGGAGAUCUGACGCUGAGGCACGAAAGCGUGGGUAUCGAACAGGAUUAGAUACCCCUGUAGUC
Molecule: ribosomal RNA, 459 nt
Filed under: uncultured bacterium
Lineage: Bacteria
Description: partial 16S ribosomal RNA
Rfam family: Bacterial small subunit ribosomal RNA
Source: RNAcentral